AUGUUCGGGUUCGGGCACCACCACAAGGACCAGGCGCCGGCGGCGUCGGGCCCCAACCAGAUCUUCAAGAUCUACUGCCGGGCCUCGGAGGACUACUGCCUCGCCGUCCGCGACGGCGAGGUGGUGCUCGCCCCCGUCAACCCCAAGGACGAGACCCAGCACUGGCUCAAGGACAUGCGCUUCAGCACCACCGUCAAGGACGAGGAGGGCAUGCCGGCCUUCGCGCUCGUCAACAAGGCCACCGGCCUCGCCGUCAAGCACUCCAUCGGCCAGUCCCACCCCGUGAAGCUGGUGCCGUUCAACCCGGCGUACGAGGACGCGUCGGUGCUGUGGACGGAGAGCAAGGACGUGGGCAAGGGCUUCCGCUGCAUCCGCAUGGUCAACAACACCCGCCUCAACUUCGACGCCCUCAACGGCGACAAGGACCACGGCGGCGUGCACGACGGCACCACCGUCGUGCUCUGGGAGUGGUGCAAGGGGGACAACCAGUGCUGGAAGAUCUGGCCCUGGGCCGAGGCGCACGCCGCCGUCGAGUCCGGCGCCACCAUGGGCAACAACGCCCACGCCAUGGGCGGCGGCCCCCCCGUGCAUGCCGUGCGCGUCUUCUGCAAGGCCGGCGAGGACUACAGCCUCACCGCCCGCAACGGCACCGUCUGCCUCGCCCCCACCAACCCCAGGGACGACUACCAGCACUGGAUCAAGGACAUGAGGCACAGCAACAAGAUCAGGGACGAGGAAGGGUACCCUGCGUUUGCGCUGGUGAACAAGGUCACCGGCGAAUGCAUCAAGCACUCCACCGGCCAGGGCCACCCCGUGAAGCUGGUGCCGUACAACCCGGCGUACCAGGACGAGUCGGUGCUGUGGACGGAGAGCCGCGACGUGGGCAAGGGCUUCCGCUGCGUCCGCAUGGUGAACAACAUCUACCUCAACUUCGACGCCUUCCACGGCGACAAGGCCCACGGCGGCGUCCACGACGGCACCGAGGUCGUGCUCUGGAAGUGGUGCGAGGGCGACAACCAGCGCUGGAAGAUCCUCCCCUGGUGUAAAGAUGAGAUGCCAGGAGAGCUUUCGCAUUGCCAUCGACACAUCGCCAUGGAUUAG
Molecule: ribosomal RNA, 1101 nt
Filed under: Triticum aestivum (bread wheat)
Lineage: Eukaryota; Viridiplantae; Streptophyta; Magnoliopsida; Poales; Poaceae
Description: partial small subunit ribosomal RNA
Source: RNAcentral